GGCAAGAUGGCCGAGUGGUCUAAGGCGCAGCACUUGAAAUGCUGUAUCUUCGGAUGCGUGAGUUCAAAUCUCACUCUUGUCG
This 82-nucleotide transfer RNA is filed under the name Talaromyces marneffei ATCC 18224. RNAcentral's name for it is "tRNA-Ser (TGA) (tRNA-Ser-TGA-2-1)". It matches the Rfam family "tRNA". Rfam says of the family: Transfer RNA (tRNA) molecules are approximately 80 nucleotides in length. The record is from RNAcentral. Lineage: Eukaryota; Fungi; Ascomycota; Eurotiomycetes; Eurotiales; Trichocomaceae.